UAUUGGACUGUCAUAUUGUUAUUGGGAGCUAUGUUUUUAUGAAUGAUUAUAUCAGAUUCCUUUGGUUUUAAUGAAUAAUUUUCACUUUUAAUUUUUUCUUUGGUAUUAAUAUUGCUUCCUUUGCUUGCUUUCUUUUUAUUCAUGCCUUCUUAAAUAUUUUCCCAUAUUUUUAUAUUGCUUUUUUCCAAGUUGGGUUUCCUGUAAAUAAGACAUAGCUAUAAUCCUGAGCUCUUAAAGACAAGAGUCUCUUCAGUCUAGAGUAAAUAAUUAUAUUUACUAUAUUUAUACUAGAUUAUAUUAUGAUCAUUUUUAUCAUAAAUAUUUUCUUAUCUUUCCCGUCAACUGGUAACACUGAGAAGAUCUGGUUAGCUAUGCUUUGAAUGGUCCUGGACUGGCAGGGCAGUGAAUUCUCAGUUUUCCCUUCUGUCUCUUUGGCAACCUGGAGUCUGUGCUCUCACCCAUCUCUAAAGAAAGCAGGGUCUCUCCUUCUCUUACUUUGGCCUAAAAGAAAAUGAUAUUAUCUGAACCAGCCAGAGUCCAAACCAGCAGAACUCCUUCUUAGCACUGCUUUCCUUCCUCAAGAAGAGAGGAUUGAUAUCUGAGCCUAGAAGGAAAGAUUUCAAGAGAUGGGUAUCAAAUAGCCUUAAAGGCUGGUGUGUACACCCAGAAUCCUACUAGACAUUUGACCUUGGGUAAAUUCCUUAACAUCUUUAUAUCAUCUUGUUUUCAUUUAUUAAACUGAGAUAAUAAGGUCUAUUUCACAGACCUACUGGAGGCUUUAUGUGUGAAAAUCUAUCAAAAUGUAAUGCAUUUUGCAUCAGCAUCCCAUAGAAGCCCAUGCUAGUAAUAAUGUCCAGCAGAGAAAAAAAUCUCACUGGAAAAUAGAACACACAGUGGAUGCAACUGCUAUGAAUCCCACUGACCUCAACUCGGCCAACUUUCCUCCCACUGAUGGUGGAUGCCAAGACACCAAGGUCUCUUCCUUACUUUUCACCGAGAUGCCUGUUAAACCAUUAGUACUCCUACAAGAAACGCUUCAGACUUCCCUUGGACAAACACCUGAGAAUACUAAUGGCAAAGGUUGGCUUCGGUUCCUUUUUGUUCAAGGCUUCAUGUCAGAUUAUAUCAACUAGCACUGCCUGAAGAGAGUCACUAACUGCCAGGUGGCUUAGAAGGACUCAGAACACAAAGCCAAGAAUGCUUCUCAAAUUCAGCCUAAAUGACC
Molecule: long non-coding RNA, 1225 nt
Filed under: Felis catus (domestic cat)
Lineage: Eukaryota; Metazoa; Chordata; Mammalia; Carnivora; Felidae
Description: lncRNA (ENSFCAG00000050450.1)
Source: RNAcentral